RNAcentral lists this ribosomal RNA (497 nucleotides) under uncultured bacterium. Its description in RNAcentral is "partial 16S ribosomal RNA". It matches the Rfam family "Bacterial small subunit ribosomal RNA", at positions 28 to 507 of the family's 1533-position model. The record is from RNAcentral.
GAUGAACGCUGGCGGCGUGCCUAAUACAUGCAAGUCGAGCGAACGGACGAGAAGCUUGCUUCUCUGAUGUUAGCGGCGGACGGGUGAGUAACACGUGGAUAACCUACCUAUAAGACUGGGAUAACUUCGGGAAACCGGAGCUAAUACCGGAUAAUAUUUUGAACCGCAUGGUUCAAAAGUGAAAGACGGUCUUGCUGUCACUUAUAGAUGGAUCCGCGCUGCAUUAGCUAGUUGGUAAGGUAACGGCUUACCAAGGCAACGAUGCAUAGCCGACCUGAGAGGGUGAUCGGCCACACUGGAACUGAGACACGGUCCAGACUCCUACGGGAGGCAGCAGUAGGGAAUCUUCCGCAAUUGGCGAAAGCCUGACGGAGCAACGCCGCGUGAGUGAUGAAGGUCUUCGGAUCGUAAAACUCUGUUAUUAGGGAAGAACAUAUGUGUAAGUAACUGUGCACAUCGUGACGGUACCUAAUCAGAAAGCCACGGCUAACUACGUG